Molecule: transfer RNA, 69 nt
Filed under: Troglonectes lihuensis
Lineage: Eukaryota; Metazoa; Chordata; Actinopteri; Cypriniformes; Nemacheilidae
Also listed under: 1 other name
Description: tRNA-Arg
Rfam family: tRNA
About the family: Transfer RNA (tRNA) molecules are approximately 80 nucleotides in length.
Source: RNAcentral
AGAGAGUUAGUCCAACAAAGACCUCUGAUUUCGACUCAGAAGAUCAUGGUUUAAUUCCAUGGCCCUCUU